CCUUCGAUAGCUCAGUUGGUAGAGGGGUUGACUGUAGAUGUUUACAACAAUCAUCCCUAGUCACCGGUUCGAAUCCGGUUCGAAGGA
This is a non-coding RNA of Paramuricea clavata, 87 nucleotides long. The record is from the annotation of a GenBank genome assembly. Lineage: Eukaryota; Metazoa; Cnidaria; Anthozoa; Malacalcyonacea; Plexauridae.